UGUGUAACCUGCCCCGAUGACUGGGACAACCCGGGGAAACCCGGGCUAAUACCGGAUGUGCUGCAUUCGCAUCAGCGAGUGUAGGAAAGGAAGCUUCGGCCUCCGCAUCGGGAUGGGCUCGCGGCCCAUUAGCUUGUUGGUGAGGUAACGGCUCACCAAGGCUUCGAUGGGUAGCUGGUCUGAGAGGACGAUCAGCCACACUGGGACUGAGACACGGCCCAGAUCCCGUAACGGGG
Molecule: ribosomal RNA, 236 nt
Filed under: uncultured bacterium
Lineage: Bacteria
Description: partial 16S ribosomal RNA
Rfam family: Bacterial small subunit ribosomal RNA
Source: RNAcentral